UAGUACACUUAAAUUUAAUUUAUGAGUACUAGAAUAUUAAGAGUUAUAUUCUUUAAAUUUAAAAAAUUUGGCGGUGUUUUAGUCUAGUUAGAGGAACCUGUAUUAUAAACGAUAUAACACGCAUUAUUUUACUUAUUUUAGUAAACAGUUUGUAUACCGUCAUUAUUAGAUAAUUUAUGAGAAAAUAUUAUUGAGAUCAUAUUAUUGAGUAUAUUAGAUCAAGGUGCAGCUUAUAAAUAAGUAAGUAUGGGUUACAAUAAAAUUUAUUUAUAUGGAUUGGGUAUUUAAAUAUAUUUAUGAAGGAGGAUUUAAUUGUAAGAUAAGGAGUAGUAAGAUUUUCUGAUAAAAGCUCUAAAUUAU
RNAcentral lists this ribosomal RNA (360 nucleotides) under Fallicambarus wallsi. Its description in RNAcentral is "partial 12S ribosomal RNA". The record is from RNAcentral. Lineage: Eukaryota; Metazoa; Arthropoda; Malacostraca; Decapoda; Cambaridae.